GGUAGAAGAGCAGGGAGAAAUACUUUGAAUGAGUAUGUAGUUCCAUUCACAGUUGAGUAGGUGGUCCUUAAUUUGGCCCAGGACACAUAUGCAUGCACACUGCUACAAGAAUGUGCCCAUAUGUG
Molecule: long non-coding RNA, 125 nt
Organism: Etheostoma spectabile (orangethroat darter)
Lineage: Eukaryota; Metazoa; Chordata; Actinopteri; Perciformes; Percidae
Exons: 3
Source: RefSeq, a predicted model, not a curated record